ACGGAAGGCAGCAGUGGGGAAUAUUGGGCAAUGGGCGAAAGCCUGACCCAGCGACGCCGCGUGAGGGAAGAAGAUCUUCGGAUUGUAAACCUUAGUCAACAGGGAAGAAGCAAGUGACGGUACCUGUGGAGGAAGCCACGGCUAACUACGUGCCAGCAGCCGCGGUAAUACGUCGGUGGCGAGCGUUAUCCGGAUUUACUGGGUGUAAAGGGUGUGUAGGCGGGACUGUAAGUCAGAUGUGAAAACUGGCGGCUCAACUGGCAGCCUGCAUUUGAAACUGCGGUUCUUGAGUGUGGGAGAGGUAAGCGGAAUUCCCGGUGUAGCGGUGAAAUGCGUAGAUAUCGGGAGGAACAUCAGUGGCGAAGGCGGCUUACUGGACCACAACUGACGCUGAGUCACGAAAGCGUGGGGAGCAAACAGGAUUAGAUCCCCUGUUA
RNAcentral lists this ribosomal RNA (437 nucleotides) under uncultured Oscillospiraceae bacterium. RNAcentral describes it as "bacterial SSU rRNA". It matches the Rfam family "Bacterial small subunit ribosomal RNA", at positions 341 to 792 of the family's 1533-position model. The record is from RNAcentral. Lineage: Bacteria; Bacillati; Bacillota; Clostridia; Eubacteriales; Oscillospiraceae.